Molecule: ribosomal RNA, 333 nt
Filed under: uncultured bacterium
Lineage: Bacteria
Description: bacterial SSU rRNA
Rfam family: Bacterial small subunit ribosomal RNA
Source: RNAcentral
GAUAAACGCUGGCGGCGUGCCUAAUGCAUGCAAGUCGCACGGAGUGUCUUUUCGGAGGCAUUGAGUGGCGAACGGGUGAGGAACGCGUGGACAACCUACCCGGCGUGGGGAGUACCCGCCAGAAAUAGGCGGGCUAAUACCGCGUACGGUCCGAGGGGCGGACGGGCGUACCUGGAAGGAAAGACAGUGAUGCGCGCUGGGAGGGGUCGUGCGGCCGAUUAGCUCGUUGGCGGGGUAAGUGGCNCACCAAGGCGAUGAUCGGUAGCUGGUCUGAGAGGAUGAUCAGCCACACGGGGACUGAGACACGGCCCCGACUCCUACGGGAGGCAGCAG